CAGUAGCCACGGUAAUACGUAGGUCCCGAGCGUUGUCCGGAUUUAUUGGGCGUAAAGCGAGCGCAGGCGGUCAGAUAAGUCUGAAGUUAAAGGCUGUGGCUUAACCAUAGUACGCUUUGGAAACUGUUUAACUUGAGUGCAAGAGGGGAGAGUGGAAUUCCAUGUGUAGCGGUGAAAUGCGUAGAUAUAUGGAGGAACACCGGUGGCGAAAGCGGCCCUCUGGCUUGUAACUGACGCUGAGGCUCGAAAGCGUGGGGAGCAAACAGGAUUAGAGACCCCAGUAGUCCCUGUCUCUUAUACA
Molecule: ribosomal RNA, 301 nt
Filed under: uncultured bacterium
Lineage: Bacteria
Description: partial 16S ribosomal RNA
Rfam family: Bacterial small subunit ribosomal RNA
Source: RNAcentral